GGGGAAGAUGGUGGAGGACGGCGCGGAGGAGCUGGAGGAUCUGGUGCACUUCUCCGUGUCUGAGUUGCCUAGUCGCGGCUACGGCGUCAUGGAGGAGAUCCGGCGGCAGGGCAAGCUGUGCGACGUGACCCUCAAGAGCUUUGCUGUUCCUUGAUCAUCAGUCCGAAAGGCAGUAUCACACAGACUCUGCAGCCACACUGCCUGCGUUUGAGUUCUGGGUCUGCCACUUGUUAGCUGUGAAAAUGAGCAGCUUCCUUAAACACUGGUGAUUCUCUGUCUCGUCUGUAAAAUGCACAUCACCACCUACUUGAGUGCUGAGGAUUCAAUUAGUUAAUGUACUUCAAAUAAUCAUGUAGUAAAUGCUCAGUAGUGUGU
RNAcentral lists this small RNA (375 nucleotides) under Pan troglodytes (chimpanzee). Its description in RNAcentral is "processed transcript". The record is from RNAcentral. Lineage: Eukaryota; Metazoa; Chordata; Mammalia; Primates; Hominidae.